Molecule: ribosomal RNA, 468 nt
Filed under: uncultured bacterium
Lineage: Bacteria
Description: partial 16S ribosomal RNA
Rfam family: Bacterial small subunit ribosomal RNA
Source: RNAcentral
GACGAACGCUAGCGGCGUGCUUAACACAUGCAAGUCGAACGAAAAGGGACUGCAUUUUUGGUGUACUAAAGUUACGAACGAAUGAGUAACAAAUGAGUAACCUACCCGUGACUUUGGGAUGAAUUCAAGAAACUAGGGAUAAUAACGAAUGGAAACUCCUGAUGCAUGGUGUGGGUUGGAGAGUUUCGGCGGUUGGGGAUGGACUCGCGGCUUAUAAGGUGGGUGGUGGGGUAGUGGCUUACCAAGGCUGUGACGGGUAGCCGGACUGAGAGGGUGACCGGCCCCAGUGGGAUAGAGAUACGGCCCAGACUGCUACUGGAGGCAGCAGUGGGGGACAUUCCACAAUGGGCGGCAGCCUGAUGCAGCAACGCCGCGUUCUGGAUGACGGCCUUCGGGUUGUAAACGCCUUUCGGCUGUGACGAAGCGUGAUUGACGGUAAUGGGUAAAGAAGCACCGGCUAACUACGUG